UCACUGUGUUUUCGAGGAGUCAAAAUAUUUGAUGCGAAAAUUACAUUAUUGUGAAAUUGUCAAUACCGAGGGGUCAAAGUUCAUUGCGUUAAAGAUUUUUUAUUUUCCGAAAGAAAAGAUGAAACUUUUUUUCUUAAGAGUGAAAGAAUGAGAAAUUGAGAGAUCACCGAGAGUCUAUAAACUACUGAUGCUUGGACUUAUCUGAGGCCACCGCAAGAGAGAGAGUUCUAUAUGAAAGUUGCCGCUACCGUCUGGCCACCACUUGCGGCUUAGGACAGGUGUAUGCUAGGCAACAUCAACAAUAAUAGCUAUGGCAGCAACUCAACUUCAGCAGUAACAUCACAGGAUUUAUGAUGGCUGAACCAAUGCUCAUGGUUGGUGGCAAUAAUGCUCAACUUAAGUUGCUGCAUAGCUGAUGUUGGUGCUGCUUUUGGAGGCUUAAGUAGCUACAUAAUUGCUGGUGUUGUUGUUGGAGGCGUGAUGGAUGCUUUGAUUGAUUUGGGAUAGCCAAAGAAAUUUUUGCGGAUUCUUUUCCAAAUUUUUUUGAAACAUAGUGAUGCAGCGGAUUUAUAAAGACCAAUGGACUUAAAUGACUUCAUAAGUCAUCUAUUCAAGAUGUCAACUGUGAUAUAAUGUAUGCGAAGAUCUUGAACAUAACAAAUUAUAAUUGAACUAAACGAUCUCUUACACCUAUCUCCAUUCAAUUUAGGAGAUACUAUUGGUACAAUUUAUUCUUUUAUGUUGUAUUGUAUUUAGUAG
This is a long non-coding RNA of Quercus lobata, 759 nucleotides long. RefSeq lists it as uncharacterized. NCBI's taxonomy places the organism in Eukaryota, Viridiplantae, Streptophyta, Magnoliopsida, Fagales, Fagaceae. The record is from RefSeq and is a predicted model, not a curated record. The transcript is spliced from 6 exons.